CUACGGGAGGCUGCAGUGGGGAAUAUUGGACAAUGGGCGAAAGCCUGAUCCAGCCAUGCCGCGUGUGUGAAGAAGGCCUUCGGGUUGUAAAGCACUUUCAGUGGGGAAGAAAGCCUUGGGGCUAAUACCCUCGAGGAAGGACAUCACCCACAGAAGAAGCACCGGCUAACUCCGUGCCAGCAGCCGCGGUAAUACGGAGGGUGCGAGCGUUAAUCGGAAUUACUGGGCGUAAAGCGCGCGUAGGCGGUCUGAUAAGCCGGUUGUGAAAGCCCCGGGCUCAACCUGGGAACGGCAUCCGGAACUGUCAGGCUAGAGUGCAGGAGAGGAAGGUAGAAUUCCCGGUGUAGCGGUGAAAUGCGUAGAGAUCGGGAGGAAUACCAGUGGCGAAGGCGGCCUUCUGGACUGACACUGACGCUGAGGUGCGAAAGCGUGGGUAGCAAACAGGAUUAGAUACCCGAGUAGUC
Molecule: ribosomal RNA, 464 nt
Filed under: Vreelandella stevensii
Lineage: Bacteria; Pseudomonadati; Pseudomonadota; Gammaproteobacteria; Oceanospirillales; Halomonadaceae
Description: partial 16S ribosomal RNA
Rfam family: Bacterial small subunit ribosomal RNA
Source: RNAcentral